RNAcentral lists this ribosomal RNA (253 nucleotides) under uncultured bacterium. RNAcentral describes it as "partial 16S ribosomal RNA". It matches the Rfam family "Bacterial small subunit ribosomal RNA", at positions 524 to 776 of the family's 1533-position model. The record is from RNAcentral.
UACAGAGGUCUCAAGCGUUGUUCGGAUUCAUUGGGCGUAAAGGGUGUGUAGGUGGCGCGCUAAGUCGGGUGUGAAAUUUCGGAGCUUAACUCCGAAACUGCAUUCGAUACUGGCGUGCUUGAGGACUGGAGAGGAGACUGGAAUUCAUGGUGUAGCAGUGAAAUGCGUAGAUAUCAAGAGGAACACCAGUGGCGAAGGCGAGUCCCUGGACAACUUCUGACACUGAGGCACGAAAGCUAGGGGAGCAAACAGG